This 694-nucleotide ribosomal RNA is filed under the name uncultured bacterium. Its description in RNAcentral is "bacterial SSU rRNA". It matches the Rfam family "Bacterial small subunit ribosomal RNA", at positions 8 to 717 of the family's 1533-position model. The record is from RNAcentral.
AGAGUUUGAUCCUGGCUCAGAAUCAACGCUGGCGGCGUGCCUAACACAUGCAAGUCGAACGAGAAAGUGGAGCAAUCCAUGAGUAAAGUGGCGACCGGGUGAGUAACACGUGACUAACCUACCUUCGAGUGGGGGAUAACCUCGGGAAACCGGGGCUAAUACCGCAUAAUAUCUUUGAAGUGGAAAUUUCGGAGAUCAAAGGAGCAAUUCGCUGGAAGAGGGGGUCGCGGCUGAUUAGCUAGUUGGCGGGGUAACGGCCCACCAAGGCUUAGAUCGGUAGCCGGCCUGAGAGGGCGCACGGCCACACUGGAACUGAAACACGGUCCANACUCCUACGGGAGGCAGCAGUGGGGAAUUUUGCGCAAUGGGGGAAACCCUGACGCAGCAACGCCGCGUGGAGGAUGAAGUCCCUUGGGACGUAAACUCCUUUCGACCCGGACGAUAAUGACGGUACGGGUGGAAGAAGCCCCGGGCUAACUUCGUGCCAGCAGCCGCGGUAAUACGAGGGGGGCAAGCGUUGUUCGGAAUUAUUGGGCGUAAAGGGCGCGUANGCGGUGCGGUAAGUCACCUGUGAAACCUCUAGGCUCAACCUANAGCCUGCAGGCGAAACUGCCGUGCUUGAGGGUGGGAGAGGUGCGUGGAAUUCCCGGUGUAGCGGUGAAAUGCGUAGAUAUCGGGANGAACACCUGUGGCU